GCCCAGGUGGCUCAGUCAGUUGAGCAUCUGACUUUGGCUCAGGUCAUGAUCUCACAGUUCGUGAGUUUGAGCCCCACAUUGGGCU
Molecule: transfer RNA, 85 nt
Filed under: Felis catus (domestic cat)
Lineage: Eukaryota; Metazoa; Chordata; Mammalia; Carnivora; Felidae
Rfam family: tRNA
About the family: Transfer RNA (tRNA) molecules are approximately 80 nucleotides in length.
Source: Rfam by way of RNAcentral